UACGUAGGUGGCAAGCGUUGUCCGGAUUUACUGGGCGUAAAGAGCGCGCAGGCGGUCGUUCAAGUCGAGUGUGAAAGCCCCCGGCUCAACUGGGGAGGGUCACUCGAUACUGAUCGACUCGAAGGCAGGAGAGGGAAGUGGAAUUCCCGGUGUAGUGGUGAAAUGCGUAGAUAUCGGGAGGAACACCAGUGGCGAAGGCGACUUCCUGGCCUGUUCUUGACGCUGAGGCGCGAAAGCUAGGGGAGCGAACGGG
This 253-nucleotide ribosomal RNA is filed under the name uncultured bacterium. Its description in RNAcentral is "partial 16S ribosomal RNA". It matches the Rfam family "Bacterial small subunit ribosomal RNA", at positions 524 to 776 of the family's 1533-position model. The record is from RNAcentral.